Molecule: RNA transcript, 2535 nt
Organism: Stegostoma tigrinum
Lineage: Eukaryota; Metazoa; Chordata; Chondrichthyes; Orectolobiformes; Stegostomatidae
Gene: ccdc43
Gene name: coiled-coil domain containing 43
Exons: 9
Source: RefSeq, a predicted model, not a curated record
GGAGAACACAGCAGGCUAGGCAGCAUCUGGAAGAAAGGAGCAGUCAGCGUUUCGGGUAUAAACCCUUCUUCAGUAGUCAACGAAAUGUUGACUGCUCCUUUCCUCCAGGAGCUGCUUGGCCUGCUGUGUUCUCCCGGCCUCCUGUUUGUCUAUCCUUGGAUUUUGGCAUCUGCAGUUUUUUUGACAGGGGACUGUAACAUCAGUGAAGGCGGAGGGGCGGGGUCAGUGGGGACUGGGGCGGAGUUAAUGUUUUGACAGAGGCUGUAUCGUUAGUGAAGGCGUGGUGCCUAGAGUGGCGGCAGCAGCGGCGUGUGGAGUGAGUGGGGUCUUGGCCGCCGGAGAAAGGGGCGGGGUCAGUACAUCGAGUGCUUUCUGCGGGAGAGCUGUGUCCGGAAUCGCCACGGGCACCUGUUGUAUUGCUAGGACCCCCUUCCCACCUACACAAGAUGGCGGCGCCCAGUGGAGCGUCAGCGGUGGCGCCGUUUGGAGCGUGGCUCAGUCAACGGCUGGAGGAACUGGAAAUCGAUGAGGAUGUUUAUGGUUCGUACAUCAACGGAAUUUUGCGGGAGGAAGAAAACGAAGAAGAGAAGUCUGAAGCUCUUCAAGCUAUAUUAUCCGCAUUUCUGGAUGAAGAUUCAUUGGCAGCCAUUUGCAAAGAUAUAAUUCAGAAGUGGUCUGAGACCACAAGUAGUAUCACACAAGAAAAAAAUGUUGAAGAUGAAGUACAUGCCAUUGCAAGUAUGAUUGAGAAACAGGCUCAGAUUGUUGUGAAACAAAAAGAUGCUUCAGAAGAGGAAAAAUCUAGGAAAGCUGCAGUUCUUGCACAGUAUGCAAAUAUAACUGACGAGGAAGAUGAAGAUGAAGAAGCCCAUGGAACAAGUGGAUCAUUUAACUUUGAAGACAAAUCUCUUUUCAAAAACACAAAUGUUGAAGCUGUUCUUGUUGCGAAAAAAGCAGAAAGAGAUAAGGCUCGGGGAGAUGCACAAAAGAAAAAGGAGCAAGAUAAACUACAGCGAGAGAAAGAUAAGCUUGCUAAACAAGAAAGAAAGGAAAAGGAGAAGAAGAGAACACAGAAAGGAGAACGAAAGCGAUAGAUUAUUUGAAAAACAUUAGACUGGAGUGUGCAGUUGUUCAGAACUACAAGUUUACAUCCACAGGGCUGGAGAGGAAUUUGGAUUGGGAGAGAGGGAUGGAGUUGUCAUCAUCCUUACGGGUACUAAUGACAUUGAUCUGGCUGGAAAGAUACUUCUGCUGUAAGAUUUUGAAUUUAGGAACUCAACUAAAAACGUAGAACCUCCAAGGCAUUCAUGGAAUGGAGGGCAUUGCUGGUUAUGCCAGCAUCUAUUGCUUAUCCCUAAUUGCCCAUAGGGCAGUUAUAACAUCAACCACAUUGCUGGGGACCUGGAGUGACAUGAAAGGCAGAGCAGCUCUCCAUUGUUCAUAGCACUCCUCCAAUCGGACGUGAAGUUCAUUGGCUGGACCACUUCGAUUUUUCAUUGGUCUUGGAAAUCCAAAUGGUGGUAUAAAUCCAUAAAGGGAUGCAUCUCCAUAAAACAUAUCAUUGAAAAGAGGAUAUAAGUGACUGAACUCCUCAUAAGGAAAUAAUUCACUGGGAUCCAUUAAUGAAACAACAGGGUGUCCAAACUGAAGGUUAGUUCCUGAAGCAACACCACGUGCACCAAGUUGUGCCAUAUUAUGGUUCCGUCUAAAGUCACCCAUCAUGUAGGGACUUGAAAAAGAAGCUGACGAACGAGUCAUAUAAUUUGCUACACUGUUGCUGUCUCCAGCUCCUUGUUGGGAAUUGUGAUUAUUAUAAUAGUAAGACUGAGUACCUAGCAAAUCUCUGUACAUGCUCUGGGAGAAUUCAUCAUCCUUCUUUUUCACAUCUUCAUUCAGAUCAUAAUGGCAAUUUUGCUGUUUAGUCUGGUAACUAGGAUAUUUGUUCGCAACAAAUUGCUGAGUUGAUGAACUUGCAUGGAAUCCAUUUACUUGUUUUCCAUUUUGACAAUUCUUCUCAAUGGGUGAUUCGAAGUACACAUCUCCAGCUUUGUUUUGUCCUUCAACAUGCGUACCUGACUGAACCCGUUCCACAUUGUACGCAAAUUCACUACCAGACACCUUGGAAUGGUUAUCCUGACUAUAAAUUCCUGUGGGUCUCUGGAAGUAAACACUACUGUUUUGAGAAAAAGGCAAGGAAGACUGAUGUGAAGCUGGACCAAAAGAAUGGGAUGACGUUUUAGAGGCAGGAGAUACUGGAUUAUUGAGGUCUGUUGAGUUGUCUGCUUUCCCAAAGGAAGUAGUGGUAGUAGUUUCAGAACCAGAAGUAGUUAAUUUCGUCCAGGAUUGUCUGUUUUGAAUGCUGUAUUUUACCUCAAGUGGCACAGAAUCUGUCCUACUGCCAAGCCCAUUUGGUUCCUGUGACCUGGCCUACUCUGCUACAAGGACCUUCAGCCCAGGGUGUUAGAGUGAACGGACAAUGAACUCCACUCAAGAUGCGAGGGACAUUUUCAAGCAGCACCACAAUAAAAAGGAGUU